CGGCCCGUAGCUCAACGGGAGAGCGGGCUCCUUAUAAGGGCCUGACGAGGGUUCAACUCCCUCCGGGCCAACCG
Molecule: transfer RNA, 74 nt
Filed under: Planctomycetota bacterium
Lineage: Bacteria; Pseudomonadati; Planctomycetota
Description: Planctomycetes bacterium tRNA-Ile
Rfam family: tRNA
About the family: Transfer RNA (tRNA) molecules are approximately 80 nucleotides in length. Their secondary structure includes four short double-helical elements and three loops (D, anti-codon, and T loops).
Source: RNAcentral